This 496-nucleotide ribosomal RNA is filed under the name uncultured bacterium. RNAcentral's name for it is "partial 16S ribosomal RNA". It matches the Rfam family "Bacterial small subunit ribosomal RNA", at positions 28 to 506 of the family's 1533-position model. The record is from RNAcentral.
GAUGAACGCUGGCGGCGUGCCUAAUACAUGCAAGUCGAGCGAACAGACGAGGAGCUUGCUCCUCUGACGUUAGCGGCGGACGGGUGAGUAACACGUGGAUAACCUACCUAUAAGACUGGGAUAACUUCGGGAAACCGGAGCUAAUACCGGAUAAUAUAUUGAACCGCAUGGUUCAAUAGUGAAAGACGGUUUUGCUGUCACUUAUAGAUGGAUCCGCGCCGCAUUAGCUAGUUGGUAAGGUAACGGCUUACCAAGGCAACGAUGCGUAGCCGACCUGAGAGGGGGUUCGCCCACACGGAAAUUGAGACAGGUUCCAGACUCCUACGGGGGGCGGCAGUGGGAAAUCUUCCGCAAUGGGCGAAGCCUUGACGGGGCAACGCCGCUGAGGUGAUGAAGGCCUUCGAAUCGUAAAACUCUUUUAUUGGGAAAGAACAAAUGUGAAGGUAACUAUGCACGUCUUGACGGUACCUAAUCAAAAAGCCACGGCUAACUACGU